CCUACGGGUGGCAGCAGUGAGGAAUAUUGGUCAAUGGACGAGAGUCUGAACCAGCCAAGUAGCGUGAAGGAUGACUGCCCUAUGGGUUGUAAACUUCUUUUAUAUGGGAAUAAAACGUUCCACGUGUGGGAUUUUGUAUGUACCAUAUGAAUAAGGAUCGGCUAACUCCGUGCCAGCAGCCGCGGUAAUACGGAGGAUCCGAGCGUUAUCCGGAUUUAUUGGGUUUAAAGGGAGCGUAGGUGGAUUGUUAAGUCAGUUGUGAAAGUUUGCGGCUCAACCGUAAAAUUGCAGUUGAAACUGGCAGUCUUGAGUACAGUAGAGGUGGGCGGAAGUCGUGGUGUAGCGGUGAAAUGCUUAGAUAUCACGAAGAACUCCGAUUGCGAAGGCAGUUCACUGGACUGCAACUGACACUGAGGCUCGAAAGUGUGGGUAUCAAACAGGAUUAGAUACCCGAGUAGUA
This 460-nucleotide ribosomal RNA is filed under the name uncultured bacterium. RNAcentral's name for it is "partial 16S ribosomal RNA". It matches the Rfam family "Bacterial small subunit ribosomal RNA", at positions 338 to 795 of the family's 1533-position model. The record is from RNAcentral.